Molecule: ribosomal RNA, 468 nt
Filed under: uncultured bacterium
Lineage: Bacteria
Description: partial 16S ribosomal RNA
Rfam family: Bacterial small subunit ribosomal RNA
Source: RNAcentral
GACGAACGCUGGCGGCGUGCUUAACACAUGCAAGUCGAACGGAAAGGCCCUGCUUUUGUGGGGUGCUCGAGUGGCGAACGGGCGAGUAACACGUGAGUAACCUGCCCUUGACUUUGGGAUAACUUCAGGAAACUGGGGCUAAUACCGGAUAGGAGCUCCUGCUGCAUGGUGGGGGUUGGAAAGUUUCGGCGGUUGGGGAUGGACUCGCGGCUUAUCAGCUUGUUGGUGGGGUAGUGGCUUACCAAGGCUUUGACGGGUAGCCGGCCUGAGAGGGUGACCGGCGACAUUGGGCCUGAGAUACGGCCCAGACGCCUACGGGAGGCAGCAGUGGGGAAUAUUGCACAAUGGGCGGAAGCCUGAUGCAGCAACGCCGCGUGCGGGAUGACGGCCUUCGGGUUGUAAACCGCUUUCGCCUGUGACGAAGCGUGAGUGACGGUAAUGGGUAAAGAAGCACCGGCUAACUACGUG